AAUCCAUAGGUUAAUGAGGCGAACCGGGGGAACUGAAACAUCUAAGUACCCCGAGGAAAAGAAAUCAACCGAGAUUCCCCCAGUAGCGGCGAGCGAACGGGGAGGAGCCCAGAGCCUGAAUCAGCAUGUGUGUUAGUGGAAGCGUCUGGAAAGGCGCGCGAUACAGGGUGACAGCCCCGUACACAAAAGCGCAUGUGCUGUGAGCUCGAUGAGUAGGGCGGGACACGUGGUAUCCUGUCUGAAUAUGGGGGGACCAUCCUCCAAGGCUAAAUACUCCUGACUGACCGAUAGUGAACCAGUACCGUGAGGGAAAGGCGAAAAGAACCCCGGCGAGGGGAGUGAAAAAGAACCUGAAACCGUGUACGUACAAGCAGUGGGAGCCCCACCACUAAGCCAGUGGUGAACUCCACAUACGCAUCCUUUGCUGAGGAUACGGUUAACGGAGCGAAAGCGACGUUCAACCGCAAAAGAAGCAGAGGGGGCUUAGUGGUGGGGUGACUGCGUACCUUUUGUAUAAUGGGUCAGCGACUUAUAUUCUGUAGCAAGGUUAACCGAAU
Molecule: ribosomal RNA, 557 nt
Filed under: Salmonella enterica subsp. enterica serovar Agbeni
Lineage: Bacteria; Pseudomonadati; Pseudomonadota; Gammaproteobacteria; Enterobacterales; Enterobacteriaceae
Description: partial 23S ribosomal RNA
Rfam family: Bacterial large subunit ribosomal RNA
Source: RNAcentral